This is a long non-coding RNA of Megalobrama amblycephala (Wuchang bream), 4061 nucleotides long. RefSeq lists it as uncharacterized. NCBI's taxonomy places the organism in Eukaryota, Metazoa, Chordata, Actinopteri, Cypriniformes, Xenocyprididae. The transcript is spliced from 3 exons. The record is from RefSeq and is a predicted model, not a curated record.
UAAUUUCUAAAGCAGGAUUCAUUGUUACAUGAAAAAGAGCAACCAGCACAUUAAUCAAAAUGUUUUUUUUUUGUGUUCCAAUGCAGAAAGAAAGUCUUCAAGUUUAAAACAACAUGAGAUUGAGUAAAUGAUGAUUUGGGUGAACUGCAUGUUGAAAAUGCAUGUUGAGUUUGCCCUCUGUGGAUGGAAAUGUGGCCUUAAACCAGUCCGCCUGUGUUUACCGCCCCUCUCUUUUGCUCUCGCAUCCCCCUCUCUCUGUCUUUUUCCACAAGAACAGGGUUGUAGUUUACUCAUAAAUUCAUCAGGCACAAGGUUUGCACGUAACAAUUUGUGACUCGUGUGUCUUUUCAUUUUAGGGAUAGUAGGACAUGGACACCGCCGCAAAACAGCAUGCUGUAUACUGUAAUGAAGUUGAUUUUUUAAUGUUCCUGCCACACAGGAUAAAAGGCAGGCUAAUCACAAAGACCAGCCCACCCCCCCCCAAUCAGUUGCUAUUUAUUUUGACUGGAAGCUCCGGCUAAAAGCAAUGGCAGUGAGCGUGAAGCAAUUCAGUCGAAUCAGAGCUCGCUAGGUUUUGAUUUGGUGUUUGUGUGUGUAUGGCAAUGUUAAAUUCCUCACUGAAUGAUGGAAAGCCAUGUGUGCUUUGUUCAGAGAGGUACUUCAUCGUAACCUCCUCUUAUUUAGUCUCUUUUUACAGGUACUGAAAUGUCUAUUAACAGAUUGGCUGUUGUUCCCUGUGGUUGGCAUGAAAGGAGUUAUCAGGGUAACAUUAACUUUUAACGCAUCUAUAAAUUUACAAUUAAAUGGCUUCUUGGCUGUGGAUAGUGCCGUCUUCUCUAGACUGUCUUUCCACAGGGUGGUGAUAGCAUGUUGGUGUUGUCCUGAAGCUUGCCUGAAGACUGCCUUAAGGGGAACUCCUCAGAGGAGGCCAUGAGCCUACUGAACUUCCCUCCCUUCACCCCACAUCAGCCAAUCGGCUUCGAGCAACUACGCAAGCCCGGCUAACCGCUCUGGAAGAUGUUUCUCUGAAAUAGAAGAAAGCCAUACGGGUUUGGAACAACAUAAGGGUUCCGCUUUGUGUGAACGUCCUGUCUGUCUCAGACUGGUUGGAAAGGUUGGAAGAUUGCUGAUUUCCCCGAAGAACAAACCGUACCUGCAGGCCCCAUUAAAGCCAUCUGUAGCGUGUGUCCAUGUUUAUCUGCUCCCCCAUCCUUGGGGAAGAAUCCCCCCCACCACCGCACCACCGGACUCCAGCUUCUUACCAAAGACCUAUGGCACAUGUCCCCAAAGUGCCUGGCCCCGAUGGCCCCCCAUAGGUUGGCGCCACGGUGUGCCAACUCCCUUCCUCUGCCAGCAACCUUCAGGUCCAUUACCGUUCGCUAUCAGUGGGGACCAAGCUGGGGGAGCCGACAAAAGUGGCAUUUCCAGAGCGCAUCAACAUACUAUCCCUCAAGCGCUUCAGGCCUCGUAAAAUUGGACUUAUGGCUCGGUUGCCAGCAUAAAUAAGUCCCUUUGAUAGUUAGGGGAAGAAGUUAUGACACUCUUGGGUACGCGUGAGGGACAGUGGCACUGUCAUCUCAUUCCUGCUACCCUGGCACCCUGGUGCCUCUGAUCUUUCUGCCGAUUCAGGGCACGCUCUCUUCAUUACCGCCGGCCACCGGGGACUUGUUUUUUCUGCAAGAUUAAUGAGUGCCGCGGAAAUUCUCCAGCGCAUCUCGAUAAUUAAGUCUUUGUUUAUCAAAAAACAAGUUAUAUUAGGAGCAGGAAAUUCGCAGUAAUUAUUCAUAAUCCUAACAAUUCAAGUGUAGCUACCUCAUUUGCCUGUGUAAUUCUGCUUUUUAAUUUCUUGCAUACAUUUGCAUAUUAAUUUUGCCCGUUGGCUGCUGCAGGCCUCUGACAGUAAUUUUUUUCCCCCUUUCCGCGUGAUGUUUUUCACAGGGUGAGGCUCAGUCGGGUGGCAUUUCGGCUGGGUGUAAUGAUAAAUUAUGAAUUUUUCUAAUUUGCUGCAUAAUGAAGUAACCCCUUCCGAUCCAUUUCCUCUUCCUGCGCUGCAGCUUUAGGCCCAUCAGAUGGUUGUCGGAGCGUGUUUCUUUAUCUCUUUGAAAUGGCCAUGUGGUCAUUAGAGACGGCGGUGCCACGCGGGUGUCAAAGGCUGUUUCUCCAGUCGGGGUGAGAGAUCGUCAGCUCCCUGGCAUCCGCUCCAGCUAUGCGCAAUGCCUAUCCUCAUUUCCACUUUGCAAAUGGUGUCAACUCCCAUUUCCAUCGAGCCAUUCCAGAAGAGACUCAGGACCUGUGUCCAGCGCGAGUUGUGUACACUGUGUACGAGCGUUCGAGCAUUUGUUGAUGAACGCAUCUCAAAGACACACUGACGUCCUCAAAUGUUUUUCGUGCGGUCUUUAAAGCGUUUACUGUUACACAAAGUCGACUGGGGCUGUCAGAACAGAAUGAAUAUUGAUGAUCUUAAGCAUCAUGAAAGCAGGAUGUUAUGCUUGAAAUUCAUCAGCCCACUUAAAGCACAUCAAAGCCACGUUGCACACUGAGGCACUUUGGAACUUUUAUGCUAAAGUUUGGGGUUCUGUUAUGAGUUUGACAGAUAAUCUGCUAUCUGAACCCUGGUACGCACCAAACAAGUGGACCGAGACCGUUGAGAGAUGGGUCUUGGUCCGCUUCCAAACGAACUCUGCUGCAGUUCGAAUGAAAUAUUAAUGCAACACAGACCAAAGAAUGCUCGAGCAUACCUGUUUUUUCUCGUCAUAGUCGCAAUGUUGCCCAUGACAGGACUCAGGACUAGAAUCAGAACCGCGUCUCCUCACAGAAGAUCUUCGUUUGUGUGUGUGAUGGAGGGAUUCCUGCUGCUGUUUUGACUCCUUUGCAAAUUUUAUAAGCUUCUCAGUUCUCAGCUGGUCAAAAUACCAUCAUGUAGGCUAUGCACAUUAAGCCCAGCACACAGCAUUACAGCAUUGUUUUGGAUGUUCAGUAAGUUCUGUCAUGAAAUAUAUCGAUCAAUCAGGUUGUGAACAUGUCCCUGUGGCUUUAGGUUCGGUAUCUUUAGGUUUGGUGUUAAAAUGCCAAUGUGAACACUAAGUGGACCAGGAUUUUUUUUUUUUUUGGUCCUGGACAAAAUGAAUCAAGCAAACCGAACUACAAGUGUGAACUCACCCUUAUAAUGAACAAACCUAAAAAAAAAGCUGUUAUUGACUGGAAAUCAGCAUGUGUAAAUGAAUCAUUAUUCUGAGUCAGUUCAUGUCAAUAAAAUGUUGAGUUGGUUCACAAAACUGGUUUGAAUGAUUUGUUCAUGAAUAAUAUUAAUAACGUUCCAUUUUGGGGUUGCUUCUCACACAAAACUAUUGUAUGGCUUCAGAAGACUUAGAAUAUAGAGCACAGGUAAUAUGGGUCACAUUCAAUGUAACUUUAUUAUGUUUUUGUUGUCCUUUUUUAAGCUUUAAAGCUUCAGUCCACAUUGAAUUUAACCACAUGGAAUUGAGCGUCUUAAAUCUCUGUGAACUCUGGGAAUCAUUCUUUUAAAUAACUUCAUUUUCUCUGUUUUUUAUGGAAAACUUUUAGGCUGUUUAUAGUUCUUAAGACACCAUCGAAGCUCCUAUAGGGAGCCUGACCAUUAGCCGUCUGCCUCUCCUCUACACAAGAAGAAAUCUCAGAGCACUUUUCACCUUGCCAAACCACCUGUCAAAAGCAAAAUUUAUAUUCUAUAUUGCUGUUUAUGUUUUCUGUUGGCAAUGCGACAGAUGUGAGAGUCGCCAAACUGCUAUGAUACGAUGAUACCACCGUAACAAGAAAACGAGUCCUCUGAGUGCACCGUUUGUUUGCACUCGGUUUUUCCUCAAUAUUCCCAUUUUGCCGCCUGUGAAUCUCACUUUUCUAGUGUGUUUCUGCAGUCAAACAGAUACGGGGUCUAUUUCCUCUAAUCUAGUCUCCUUGUGACUUUGAUAGUGGGUCCGCAGGGGUAUGUUUUGCUGCAUUCAUGUCCAUAUUGCUGCACCAUGUACAGAUUACAAAAUAUGCAUUCUUCUUGUGUUCAAUUGAUUGUGAUGCUUAAAGGGGAU